AAACAAGAGAGUUUGAUCCUGGCUCAGGAUGAACGCUGGCGGCACGCUUAACACAUGCAAGUCGAGCGGAGAUGUGAGUUGGAA
Molecule: ribosomal RNA, 84 nt
Filed under: Bianquea renquensis
Lineage: Bacteria; Bacillati; Bacillota; Clostridia; Eubacteriales; Bianqueaceae
Description: Bacterial small subunit ribosomal RNA
Rfam family: Bacterial small subunit ribosomal RNA
Source: Rfam by way of RNAcentral